UCCCAAUCUCCUGGCUUGUAUUGGCAUUCCGUUUUCUAUCUGUCUCCGUGGGUGGGUCUCGACGGACGCGAGCGCUAAUCUUGGACCUAAUUUGUUCUUGCGGGAGCGGGUUGCCUGCCUCUAGGGAACAGGUGGUCUGAUUAGGGUUCUUCCUGGAUUGGCUGAGUUUCACUUAACCUUUGAUCAUAUUAGGUUCUGAUAAGGCUAGCGCCUUAGUUUCUUUCUCGCUGCUCUCCGUUAAUUGGUGUGGUGAAUCCUUGGAGAAAUCGUUCGCCAUGUCGACGGCGCUCAAGGCCUUCCUCAACAGCCCGGUCGGCCCCAAGACCACCCACUUCUGGGGUCCUGUGGCAAACUGGGGUUUCGUCCUUGCGGGUUUGCUUGACAUGAACAAACCUCCUGAAAUGAUAUCUGGCAAUAUGACGGCAGCCAUGUGCGUCUAUUCAGGACUCUUUAUGAGGUUUGCGUGGAUGGUGCAGCCGCGGAACUACUUGCUUCUGGCAUGCCAUGCAUCCAAUGAGUCAGUUCAGCUCUACCAGUUGUCUCGGUGGGCUAGGGCCCAGGGGUAAGCUUACUGCAGCGCUGAGUUCAUUUUUCUUCUUCAGCCAUCCGCAUUGCAACAUCAUGUUUGGUAUCUGGAGAAGAAAGAACCAGAGGCUCAGCAGUAAAAGCAGUGUAUAAACCUGCAUUUACCUUCCCAAUAAGAGUGACCUGCAGCAGCAGUUUGAAAUGCUGAAUCUGCUUGACAAAUCCCAGAAAAUAAAUUCUAUGCUGUAUAUGUUUACAAGCGCCUUUCCCUCCAUUCUAUGGCCCUCCUGUCUCGUAAUUCGAGUUUCCAAAUAUCGCGUUCUUGUCUCAUUUUCUUUCGGAUCUGAUGGCUGUAAAACACACAUUACAUGGUUUGAAAAUGGUGAUCCCAAUCCCUUUGCCCUCCA
Panicum virgatum (switchgrass) is the source of this 932-nucleotide RNA transcript. It is a transcript of the gene named mitochondrial pyruvate carrier 1-like, with no coding region annotated. The record is from RefSeq and is a predicted model, not a curated record. NCBI's taxonomy places the organism in Eukaryota, Viridiplantae, Streptophyta, Magnoliopsida, Poales, Poaceae. The transcript has 5 exons.